CCGAGUUUACAACUCCCAAACCCCUGUGAACAUACCACUCGUUGCCUCGGCGGAUCAGCCCGCUCCCGGUAAAACGGGACGGCCCGCCAGAGGACCCCUAAACUCUGUUUCUAUAUGUAACUUCUGAGUAAGACCAUAAAUAAAUCA
Molecule: unclassified non-coding RNA, 147 nt
Filed under: soil metagenome
Description: partial internal transcribed spacer 1
Source: RNAcentral